GACGAACGCUGGCGGCGUGCUUAACACAUGCAAGUCGAACGGUAAGGCUCCAGCUUGCUGGGGUACACGAGUGGCGAACGGGUGAGUAACACGUGGGUGACCUGCCCUGCACUUCGGGAUAAGCCUGGGAAACUGGGUCUAAUUCCGGAUAGGACCGCACCGUGAGGGUGUGGUGGAAAGUUUUUUCGGUGUGGGAUGGGCCCGCGGCCUAUCAGCUUGUUGGUGGGGUAAUGGCCUACCAAGGCGGCGACGGGUAGCCGGCCUGAGAGGGUGGACGGCCACAUUGGGACUGAGACACGGCCCAGACUCCUACGGGAGGCAGCAGUGGGGAAUAUUGCACAAUGGGCGGAAGCCUGAUGCAGCGACGCCGCGUGGGGGAUGACGGCCUUCGGGUUGUAAACUCCUUUCACCAUCGACGAAGGGUUUCUGACGGUAGAUGGAGAAGAAGCACCGGCUAACUACGUG
Molecule: ribosomal RNA, 465 nt
Filed under: uncultured bacterium
Lineage: Bacteria
Description: partial 16S ribosomal RNA
Rfam family: Bacterial small subunit ribosomal RNA
Source: RNAcentral